Molecule: ribosomal RNA, 600 nt
Filed under: Acinetobacter sp.
Lineage: Bacteria; Pseudomonadati; Pseudomonadota; Gammaproteobacteria; Moraxellales; Moraxellaceae
Description: bacterial SSU rRNA
Rfam family: Bacterial small subunit ribosomal RNA
Source: RNAcentral
AGCUAACGCGAUAAGUAGACCGCCUGGGGAGUACGGUCGCAAGACUAAAACUCAAAUGAAUUGACGGGGGCCCGCACAAGCGGUGGAGCAUGUGGUUUAAUUCGAUGCAACGCGAAGAACCUUACCUGGCCUUGACAUACUAAGAACUUUCCAGAGAUGGAUUGGUGCCUUCGGGAACUUAGAUACAGGUGCUGCAUGGCUGUCGUCAGCUCGUGUCGUGAGAUGUUGGGUUAAGUCCCGCAACGAGCGCAACCCUUUUCCUUAUUCGCCAGCGGGUAAUGCCGGGAACCUUAAGGAUACUGCCAGUGACAAACUGGAGGAAGGCGGGGACGACGUCAAGUCAUCAUGGCCCUUACGGCCAGGGCUACACACGUGCUACAAUGGUCGGUACAAAGGGUUGCUACCUCGCGAGAGGAUGCUAAUCUCAAAAAGCCGAUCGUAGUCCGGAUCGCAGUCUGCAACUCGACUGCGUGAAGUCGGAAUCGCUAGUAAUCGCGGAUCAGAAUGCCGCGGUGAAUACGUUCCCGGGCCUUGUACACACCGCCCGUCACACCAUGGGAGUUUGUUGCACCAGAAGUAGGUAGUCUAACCGCAAGGAGG